Molecule: long non-coding RNA, 224 nt
Organism: Zalophus californianus (California sea lion)
Lineage: Eukaryota; Metazoa; Chordata; Mammalia; Carnivora; Otariidae
Exons: 3
Source: RefSeq, a predicted model, not a curated record
GGGAGGCGUAGCGCUUCGCUGGCGCCGCCGCCGCUGCGGAGGCUGUGUGUGUGUGAAGGUGAAGCGGCCGGGGCGCUCGGGUUGCACACUUGUCCAAUCCAGGAAGCUGCCAAGGAAAUUUGCAGUUGGAAACCACAUAAGUCUGUGAUUCUCAUGCAUUCUCCCAGCACAGCCCACUCCUUAGAGGAACUCUAAAGUAAAAUUUUACCCGCUUUUCAAUGCCA